RNAcentral lists this ribosomal RNA (811 nucleotides) under uncultured bacterium. RNAcentral describes it as "bacterial SSU rRNA". It matches the Rfam family "Bacterial small subunit ribosomal RNA", at positions 1 to 878 of the family's 1533-position model. The record is from RNAcentral.
CACGAAACCACGGAGGUGCGCAAACUGCGGCGGCUUAAACAUGCAGUCGAGCGCCCCGCAGGGGAGCGGCAGACGGGUGAGUAACGCGUGGGAAUCUACCCUUUUCUACGGAAUAACGCAGGGAAACUUGUGCUAAUACCGUAUGAGCCCUUCGGGGGAAAGAUUUAUCGGGAAAGGAUGAGCCCGCGUUGGAUUAGCUAGUUGGUUGGGUAAAGGCCUACCAAGGCGACGAUCCAUAGCUGGUCUGAGAGGAUGAUCAGCCACAUUGGGACUGAGACACGGCCCAAACUCCUACGGGAGGCAGCAGUGGGGAAUAUUGGACAAUGGGCGCAAGCCUGAUCCAGCCAUGCCGCGUGAGUGAUGAAGGCCCUAGGGUUGUAAAGCUCUUUCACCGGUGAAGAUAAUGACGGUAACCGGAGAAGAAGCCCCGGCUAACUUCGUGCCAGCAGCCGCGGUAAUACGAAGGGGGCUAGCGUUGUUCGGAAUUACUGGGCGUAAAGCGCACGUAGGCGGAUUGUUAAGUGAGGGGUGAAAUCCCAGGGCUCAACCCUGGAACUGCCUUUCAUACUGGCAAUCUAGAGUCCAGAAGAGGUGAGUGGAAUUCCGAGUGUAGAGGUGAAAUUCGUAGAUAUUCGGAGGAACACCAGUGGCGAAGGCGGCUCACUGGUCUGGAACUGACGCUGAAGUGCGAAAGCGUGGGUAGCAAACAGGAUUAGAUACCCUGGUAGUCCACGCCGUAACGAUGAAUGUUAGCCGUCGGGCAGUUUACUGUUCGGUGGCGCAGCUAACGCAUUAAACAUUCCGCCUGGGG